UUUCUAACAUCGAACAUAAUCGACCAGAACGAAACAGACGAAAAAUGAUUAAACACCCUGUGCUAUAAAAAGCUCCGCACUAAAUUACGCACACAUAUGAACACCCGUACAGCAGCGAUAGAAACGUCAAACGUAAAGUAAACAGUGAUUAAGAAGAGUGUGUUUUGUGCUACAGGAUAGUAAAUCGGAAAAAACAGAGCCAUAUCACCGCCCCCAUCGGCACCCGACGGACGGACUAGACUACCCGGGUACGAGUAGGGUCUGGAGGAAAAUAUUGAGGUAGAACCGGACAUCGAGGGAAAAAGUGAACAGGAAAGAUGACUUCCAAUUACAGGUAAGAUUUCGAACAUAAACUAAUAUUUUUAAAUUUUUAGGAUAGCCGGAGAACUGGAAUGAAAUUUUGCACCGAAGGACGGCUGCAGCGGCUUGCUAGCAGGACGGCAGCGAGCCAUAAAAUUUUUCAACUAUAAAUUUACCAAGAUAUAAAUUUUUCAACCAGACAAAAAUUUCAGAAACUAACAAUAUUUUUAAGCAAACCAUGUUAACUAACAUAAAUAAUUAACUAACUAAACAAAUGAAUAAAUAACAGAUAGAGAAAUAAAUAAAUUAACCCUAAUUCAGCAACCAUAUAAACAUCUAAAUAAAUAUUUACUUAUAUUCUAAAUAUUAAUAAAUAAAUAACAUGCAAUUAAAUCUACUAUUUACAAAUUAAACUUACCAUACUAACUCAAAAUAAUAAAUUUAAGUAGCAGGACAAUUUAAAAAUAUACAUAGCGUUAGGUACUAACUUA
Wyeomyia smithii (pitcher-plant mosquito) is the source of this 791-nucleotide long non-coding RNA. RefSeq lists it as uncharacterized. Lineage: Eukaryota; Metazoa; Arthropoda; Insecta; Diptera; Culicidae. The record is from RefSeq and is a predicted model, not a curated record. The transcript is spliced from 2 exons.